GCCAUCAGUAGCGCAACGGGUCAGAGCACGCGUUCCCCAGAAAGAGUGAGACGUGGGUUCGAGUCCCGCCUGACGCA
This is a non-coding RNA of Parelaphostrongylus tenuis, 77 nucleotides long. The record is from the annotation of a GenBank genome assembly. Lineage: Eukaryota; Metazoa; Nematoda; Chromadorea; Rhabditida; Metastrongylidae.